AGGUCUGAGCUGUCAGAACAGAGCCUGAUGCGGGGCUUGAACCCACGAACUGUGAGAUCAUGACCUGAGCUGAAGUCGGAUGCUUAACUGACUGAGGCACCGAGGUGCCCCAGAAUGAAACGAGAAUUUAAAUCAAACCAUGUUUUCUCAUCACAGCAUGCUAAAAUGUCUUGUUUAUCAUAUGUGCUCAGACCUUUGUUGAUUACUAGCAAUGGGUAUAAACACAUAUAUUGUUUUAAUUCACUCACCAAUAUAAGACAUUUAAAUAAAUAAAGUGACAUAUACUUAAAUACACCACAAAACAGAAACACGCAUCCAUAGUUUGAAUCUUCCCACUUCUCUCCAUGAUCAACAUCUCAAAGAGUAGAAGUGGCAUCAGGGUGACUUCAGGAGUGACACAUCAAACUUAUUGUCCUCAGCCUACAUAUAACUAUAGAUUUUUUUUUCUGGGCUAGAAUGGGAAACCAUUCAAACCAUCCAUCCAUCUACUCACCUAUUUAUGCACUCAUACAGGGCAUCUACUAUACUGAACAACCUGUUACUUCCUACAUAUAUAACGUUGAAUAAGACACAGUCCAUGUUCUUCAAAAGCUUAUAAUUUAAUGAGAGAAACAGAAAAAGAAAUAUGGAAUUAGAACAGAAUAAAGUUUUUCAAGUUCAGCACUAAUGACAUUUUGUACGGGAUGAUUUUUUGUUGUGGAGAUCUAUGCACUGGAGGAUAGUUAGCACCAUCCCUAGCCUCUACUUACUGCAUAUUGGUAGCACCCCAAUCCUUUGUUGUAACCAUAAGUGUCUCCAGACACUUUCACAUGUCACAUGUCACUUGUCAAAUGUCCUUUGCGGGGCAAAGCACCUUUCUAUCUCCUAUGUCUUCCCCUCCCCCACACCUUAUCGAGAACUACUACAAAAGAGUAAAAGCCACCAUAAAACUUCAAAAUAUGGUCACCUACAACAGAGGUCUGGGCCAGAAAAGUUUUCUGGAGAAAGUAAAUCCUUAACAGUGGCUUGAAAUUUCAGUAAAAUGCAGCCAGAUGAAGUAAAUGACUGUAUGUGUUUUUAUAUGUAUCAAGAAGGCCUUCUAAGCAUGUGCACAGACUCAGAGUUUAUAAUGAGUACAAGACAUCUGGCAGAAUAAAGGUAGUUGAGCAUGUUUGGAAUGGGGAGGUGUGCAGUAGAGGGAGUUAUGAAAAGUUGUACAUGCCCACAGAGGAAUACAGGGGUCUAGUUGUCACAAGAUGAGACUGUAAUCAGAAAAGGCAAACAUUUGGGGGAAGAACGAAUUCAGCGUUGGAUGUAUUGAAUUUGAGUUGCCUGAGGGACAAGGAGGCGAAGGUGUCCAAUAGAAAGUUAAAUUUUCAUUUAUGGAACAAAGGGACACGACUCCGGCCAGAGAAUGAACACCAUCUGUAUCAAGAAGCUGCAUGUGUGCAUGAAAUGACCCAGGGAGAGUGUAGAGCUGAAAGGAAGAACCCAUGGGCCUGAUAGUGGCAGCGUGGACAGAGGUGAGGGAGAACAAGAGUGAUUGUGAUGUCACAGCGAGAGUUUCAUAAACACGGCAUAAAGGUCAGAUCAGAUGAGGAGUGAGACAUGGCCAAUGGAGCUGGCAAUUCGGAAGACAUGGUGGUCUUUGCAAGAGCCAUCUUACUGGAGACAGAAAGAAGACUGGUCUGCUCUCUGGAAGAACAGCAGCGGUAGCAAGGACUCAGAGAGACUUGAACAGUCUGCCAGUAGGAUUCUGGGAAACACUACUUUUACAAGAAAGUGACCUACAAGCCUCAAGAAAGUGGUAAAGAAGGAAAAGCCAAGGAUAAUAUGUGACCAGCAGCAGCAACAUGCUCUUGUUUCAGUAAUACCCAGGCUGGUGAACAAGUACAGACUGGCUAGUGACUGGCCCACAUCAGUCAAGGACACUUUAAUCUUUCUAAAGGGAUGAAAAAUAAUUGGAGAUGCUUCUCUGAAUUAUUUUGAAAUAUUUUUGUAGAAAGAAACAGAGAAAUGCACAUGGGUGAGAGGAGGCAAAAACAAUUUUAACAGAAAAAAGUCAUUGGUCUGGCUCCACGAAUUUUCAAGUAUACUACAGAGGAAAAUCUUGUAUUUGGUGACUGAGAGAUGCAUACAGAAUUAAGGGAUGGAGUAAGGGGCAUUGCAUGACCUUCCAGCACACAUAUAUACAAGUGUGCCACAUAUAUAGUGGCCUGUCACCUGGGCCAGGUCUCUUGUCUACCUACCUGAAAGAGAAAGAAGCACAGUGAAUGAAUAGAAAGAAGUAGUGAACUGGGUUCUAAUUCCAAUUUUCCUAGAUGAUGUGUUUUGGUUAGGUCACUUUGUCCGUCUUAAGUGAAAUAGGGAUGAUGAAAAGUACCAUAUUAAUUUCUCAUCAUGCUGUAGUUCCAAGUCUGUGAAGGUUAUUCUAACCUCUAGGGGGUGACACUUUUAGAUUUCCAGAUUUGGGGAAAAGGUUUCACUGGUCAGUCCUGAAAGGGGCUAUCUUACAAAUCUCACCAUUUCUGCUGAAACAUUUGUCUCCUAAUAUCUUGAAAACUUUCAGAUUCUUCCAGUGAAAUGGCAGCAAGUAGACAUGAGAUGAUUCUGUAUGGGUGAGAGAAUAUCUAGUAUACACCAGAACUUCCAGGGUGUCAUUUAGUAGAUAUGUAUUCUUAUUCUUAAUCCAACUUUGCAGCCCAAUGACUUUAUGAAGUCAAAAAUUCUCCCCCAAAUCCUUUUGGAGUAUGAUUUUUGAAGCAUAUAGAGACAGAAUCUGAGCCAAUAUAUUUUAUUUCAAAUAAGGUUCUUUUAUUUCUAAUAUGCUUUUGAAAUGUGACAUCUGUCUACCUUGUGAAAUUCUGCUCUCUCAGCUCCCUGGAGAGCUAGGAAGAGUAUUAAACAAUUGGAUCCUUGUUGCUUUCUGAAUUCCACUACUUGUGGGCCAUUUCUGCUGGAUAAGCAUGUUGUCUAUCCAUAGCAUUCUCUUAAUUCUGCUCCUCAAACUCCUAUUUUCUGCUCUCAAAGCCAAACUCUGGGAUGGAGAACACUACUCCAUGGUUAUUUGUUAUUAAAGGACUUCUAUCACAGAAAAAGGGAAGCAAUGUUGAUAAGAUAAAGUACCUAAAAAGAAGAUAAGCUGAAAAGGCAAGGAGGGAUGUCAUGCAUUUCAGAGUUGCUCAUUUAUUCUGUUUUGCCACAUCACAAUCCUUACAAUGAAAGCACUCUUCCUUCUCCAUUGGAUUUUCAUCUGUAGAGUAUUUAAUCUUACAAAGUUAAAAAAAAUCAAUAACCAGGGAAUAUUCAGUAGUUUAGAGUUUUAAUAUUUAUCACAAAAGCAGAGCAAUCACUUGUGAAGGGGUGGGGAGAGACAGAAUUAUGGGCACUUCUUUCAAAAAAAAAAAAACCAAAUAUAAUCUUCCCCAAAGUUGUAUCGAUAUUAAAAUUCACCCAAUUUCACAUGAAUCCUCAAGAGUUGUAUCGAUACUGAAUUUCACUCCACUUCACUUGAAUUUUCAAAUUUGAAAUACCAGCUGAUUCACACUACUUCCUUUCAAUUAACUUUUCUAGCCUACAAAUCCAUACAUGUUGGUGAAUACCUAAAAGCAAAUAUUAUCUAUACAGAGACAGGAAAUGAUGACAUUACUGGCAAAAGUGAUGUCAUAAACAGACAUCAAUUCCAAAGGAUACUGAGUUCUCAUGGUACUAGGGGAAAUAAAAUAAUGACUUCACAGCUGAAUAGAAUUUAAAUAAAACAUAUUUCAACAAAACUGCCAGAAAAAUGAAUCAUUCUACAUUAACAGGCUACAUCAGCAACUAGAUAUGUUAAAAGUUUAAUUUAGCAGAGGACUGCCUCUGACCAAAAAGAGUUUCAUUUAGAUUUUAUCUGUCUUUUUAACUUAAGUUUAUUCAUUUUUGGUAAUCUCUACACCCAAUGUGGGGCUCACCCGGAGAUCAAAAGUUGCAUGCUCUUCUGACUGAGCCAGCCAGAUGCCCCGUAGAUUUCAUCUGGUUUUGAUUUAUGUCAAUAAGUAUGGUUACUGGCUUAAAGGAAACCUGAAAUUUAUCUUUCUCUUUAUGGACAAUAUUAACAUAUUUCCUAGAGAAACUUCUGUAUUUUAUGGGUAACAAUACUUUUAUCUCCCAAAUUUAAAUUUUUUUCUAUGAUAAUUUUAAGAAAGUAACUGACAGAAAGGUACAACACAAAGAAUUAUAGCUAGUAAUUGGCAUCCACUUAUAAUGUACUAGGCAAGGUGUAGAAGGUUUUAUGUACAUUAUUUUGAUUAAUACUUAUGAUACACAACGUUGACGUUAUAGAAAUGUGGACACAAUGAUCCCCAGGUAAACUAAAGACAAAAAGAAUGAGGCCUAAAGAGGUUAAGUGAUCUGCCAAGGGUGACAAAACAAAUAAGAGAGGAGGUGGAAUUCAAAUUUAAGUACCUCUCGUUCUUAAGUCUUUCUCCUUUAUUUACUCUUAUAAUUAAAGAGUAAAAGGUACAACAAGUGAGCAUAUUUGACUUAUUAGAACAUAAAUACUGUUUUUCAGUGUAAGUAUUAAGUUGGAAGUAUGUUACUUCAUACUGAAAAUAUUUAGCACAAAUUCAGUAGAAUUCGUACUCAACAGGCUUAACCGAGUCCUUUAAAAUUCUCAUCUACAGCAGCAUUUCUCAACUUUUUUCAUCAUCUUCCCCCACCCCCCAAGGGGUCUUCUUGACACUUUUUUUCUUAAUCACCCUACCCACAAAAAUUUAAUACCACAGAUAUACCACAUACUAUAUGUAUAUCUGUACAUACAGACUAUAUGUAGAUCUGUGCUUUAUACAUAAGAAGAGUUAAGAUUUUUUUUUCCCCUAGCAUGCAUUUUUGCCCCUUGGAGGGUAAUGAGGAUGUAUAAUCUAAAAGAUGUAUCUGUUUUUCUUUGUUGCUCCAAAACCUUCCAACCCACUGGCUAUUACUUCAAAUUGCACGGAGUUAGGAUCUUAGACUUUUAGCUUAAAGUUUUUCUGUAUGUUAAAAUAUGAAUACAUAGAAAAUAUUGGUGAAGCACCAAAACCCAUGUACAUUUUAGUGUGAAUAGAAGAUGGAAAAACCAGUUUGAUGGGGGAAAAUGAGAAGAAUGUGAGAGCACUCCCUACUGGAGCAGAUGAAGGAGAACAGAGAGGCUCUGGGUCGGAAUGCCUGUGGCACAAUUGUGCUUCAGUCUAGUCCCGUUGAACACAUUAACAUGAAGUAAGCAUUUGAAAAUGCCAGCUCCCAUUCAUGAUGAACAAGAAAUCUUAGUCACAAGCCACCUUAGUGACCAUCACCCUAUUGAUUAAUGUGUAAAUACUGGGUUUCCUGCCUGUGAAGAUUUGCUGUUUGGUUCCUUUCAGGUCUGUUUGUAUAUUCCCAAUUGCUAUGUGGCCAAGAACAAGUAAGUUUAUGUAAUGUUCCAAAGAAACAGCUUGACACCGUGGCUCAUUUUAACCCAGAUAGUGUGAGCCUUCACAAACUCUUCCUUGUAUCCUAUGCCUGCUGGAGUACUGGACAGACUCCACUCACUCACUGUGCACCUCGGUGGAAACUAACAAACAAUACAGUCACUGUCAGUAGAUGUUGCCUCCUCAGCGUACAGAGCCAAAAAAAAUUAUGGAAAAGUAGGUUACUUCACUGGGGUUGGAGAUGUAAAUUCUGAAUUGAU
Molecule: long non-coding RNA, 5662 nt
Organism: Herpailurus yagouaroundi (jaguarundi)
Lineage: Eukaryota; Metazoa; Chordata; Mammalia; Carnivora; Felidae
Exons: 5
Source: RefSeq, a predicted model, not a curated record